UUUCCGUAGGUGAACCUGCGGAAGGAUCAUUACCGAGUGAGGGUCUCUCAGGCCCGACCUCCCACCCUGUGGUGUAGUGACCUUGUUGGGGUGGCGGGACCGCCUCGAUGAGAGGCCGGCGGAAGAUCACCGCUUUGGGACCGUGCCAGUCAGGAGCCCCCUGAAACUCUUAAUAAACAUGACGGCAGAGGUAAGGGAUAGAAAGAAAAAAAACUUUCAACAACGGACUUCUUGGUGCUGGCAUCGAUGAAGAACGAAGCAGAUAGGAAGAGCACACGG
RNAcentral lists this unclassified non-coding RNA (279 nucleotides) under plant metagenome. Its description in RNAcentral is "partial contains small subunit ribosomal RNA, internal transcribed spacer 1, and 5.8S ribosomal RNA". The record is from RNAcentral.